This is a non-coding RNA of Ictidomys tridecemlineatus (thirteen-lined ground squirrel), 69 nucleotides long. Lineage: Eukaryota; Metazoa; Chordata; Mammalia; Rodentia; Sciuridae. The record is from Rfam.
GGGAUUGUGGCUCAGUGGUAGAGCACUCGUCUAGCACGCAUGAGGCCCUGGGUUCAAUCCUCAGCACCA